Molecule: ribosomal RNA, 465 nt
Filed under: uncultured marine group I thaumarchaeote
Lineage: Archaea; Thermoproteati; Nitrososphaerota
Description: bacterial SSU rRNA
Rfam family: Archaeal small subunit ribosomal RNA
Source: RNAcentral
GUGAAGCCUGCGGUUCAAUUGGAGUCAACGCCAGAAAUCUUACCCGGAGAGACAGCAGAAUGAAGGUCAAGCUGAAGACUUUACCAGACAAGCUGAGAGGUGGUGCAUGGCCGUCGCCAGCUCGUGCCGUGAGAUGUCCUGUUAAGUCAGGUAACGAGCGAGAUCCCUGCCUCUAGUUGCCACCAUUACUCUCAGGAGUAGUGGGGCGAAUUAGCGGGACCGCCGCAGUUAAUGCGGAGGAAGGAAGGGGCCACGGCAGGUCAGUAUGCCCCGAAACUCUGGGGCCACACGCGGGCUGCAAUGGUAACGACAAUUGGUUUCGAAUCCGAAAGGAUGAGGUAAUCCUCAAACGUUACCACAGUUAUGACUGAGGGCUGCAACUCGCCCUCACGAAUAUGGAAUCCCUAGUAACUGCGUGUCAUUAUCGCGCGGUGAAUACGUCCCUGCUCCUUGUACACACCGCCC